Molecule: RNA transcript, 1422 nt
Organism: Triticum aestivum (bread wheat)
Lineage: Eukaryota; Viridiplantae; Streptophyta; Magnoliopsida; Poales; Poaceae
Gene name: vacuolar protein sorting-associated protein 9A
Exons: 6
Source: RefSeq, a predicted model, not a curated record
GUCCGCCGCCACCUCCGGCGCCCUUUGUCCGGUGAGAUCCAUAUGGAUCGAUCCCCUCCAACCCUCCGACUCCACGACUCCUCCUCCUCCUCCUCUCUGGAUCGACCCAAUCCCGGCCACCUCCACGCCGAGCCGAGCGACACUCCCCACUCCCAGACGAAACCCUAGCCUGAGACCCCUUCCUCGAUGGCCAACCCCUCCAUGGCGGCAGGCGGCAGGGUGCCGUUGGCGGAGGGGGUCCGCGCUGUCGGGGCCCAGAUCCGCAACCGCAUCCGCAUCUUCGUAUUCUCUCUCUUGCCGGCUCCGACAGAGAGACAAACUUCCAAAUCUCUCUCGCUGCGGGCGGGCGGGCGGGGAUGGAGAGCCCCACAUCGGCGGCAUCGCGGGUGGACUUCUACGGCUUCCUCGACCGCAUGCGCCGCCCGGAGGCCGCCGGCCUCUUCCGCUCCAUCAAGAGCUUCCUCACCUCCAUCUCCCUCGACGAGCCCAGCGCCGAGGCGGACGACGCCAGGGUCCAGGCCUUCUUCGCGGAGAUGGAGGCGGCCAUCCGGGGGCACCCGCUCUGGGCCGACGCCACCCACCAGGAAAUCGACCACACGCUCGAGGGCCUCGAGAAGUACAUCAUGACCAAGCUGUUCGACCGCACUUUCGCAGGCUCGCCGGAGGACGCGGCCGCCGACGCCGAGGUCUCAGGACAAGAUCGGCCUCCUGCAGCGCUUUGUCAGGCCCCAUCACCUCGACAUACCCAAGGUCCUCAACAACGAGGCUGCAGCUGUUUGCUGUUGAUGGCAGCACCCGUCCAGACACUUGUAUCGGCGACAACAAGAAGGCCUGGAAGACCGGACACUGCAGAUAUGUGCAGUCGCUGCCAAGCUUUGUGAUAUUGUUAGUCUACCAGAUAAUUUCUGAUAUUGCCUUUUGGUGAUAACAGGGCACUGAAGAUAAAGCUUACAGAAAGAAAAAAAGAUCUUGAGGUGGCCUUUCUUCGGCAUGAUGUUAAUAUACUGAUGUUAACAUAUGCAUCUACUGUACUCCUGUGCAUGAUGUUAAUAAACUGAUGGACUGAACAGGGCCUUCGAGUACAAGAGGCUGUUGCUUGACUAUAACAGCGAGCACGACCAACAAGUUCCGCCAGCGCGAGGCAAGCGACUGAGGUGGUUGCUGCUGUGAUCGAGGCCUUCGAGUACAAGAGGCUGUUGCUUGACUAUAACAGCGAGCACGACCAACAAGUUCCGCCAGCGCGAGGCAAGCGACCGAGGUGGUUGCUGCUGUGAUCGAGGUGGCUGCUGCUGCACAAUAGUUUUAGUUGAUGUUGCCACCAUGUUUUGGUGUCUUUGUAUUUGUUUCUGAUUGUAUGUACACUUGAUGGAUCGUGCAGAUGUGCUGUUGUGAGUUUCAUAGAGUGAUUUUUGGAUUUGAUCA